GGCGGCAUGCCUAAUACAUGCAAGUCGAACGGUAACAGGUCGCUGUGAUCCCUUCGGGGUGAACUUGAUGCUGACGAGUGGCGGACGGGUGAGUAAUGCUUGGGAAUCUGCCCAGUAGUGGGGGACAACACGGGGAAACUCGUGCUAAUACCGCAUACGUCCCCUUGUUUGGUUACAAGGGGAGAAAGUGGGGGAUCUUCGGACCUCACGCUAUUGGAUGAGCCCAAGUCGGAUUAGCUUGUUGGUAGGGUAACGGCUUACCAAGGCGACGAUCCGUAGCUGGUCUGAGAGGACGAUCAGCCACACUGGGACUGAGACACGGCCCAGACUCCUACGGGAGGCAGCAGUAGGGAAUAUUGGACAAUGGGCGCAAGCCUGAUCCAGCAAUGCCGCGUGUGUGAAGAAGGCCUGCGGGUUGUAAAGCACUUUCAGUAGAGAAGAAAAGCCUCGGGUUAAUACCCCGGAGUCUUGACGUAACCUACAGAAGAAGCACCGGCUAACUCCGUG
Molecule: ribosomal RNA, 507 nt
Filed under: uncultured bacterium
Lineage: Bacteria
Description: bacterial SSU rRNA
Rfam family: Bacterial small subunit ribosomal RNA
Source: RNAcentral